RNAcentral lists this ribosomal RNA (223 nucleotides) under Escherichia coli. Its description in RNAcentral is "partial 16S ribosomal RNA". It matches the Rfam family "Bacterial small subunit ribosomal RNA", at positions 90 to 316 of the family's 1533-position model. The record is from RNAcentral. Lineage: Bacteria; Pseudomonadati; Pseudomonadota; Gammaproteobacteria; Enterobacterales; Enterobacteriaceae.
GACGAGUGGCGGACGGGUGAGUAAUGUCUGGGAAACUGCCUGAUGGAGGGGGAUAACUACUGGAAACGGUAGCUAAUACCGCAUAACGUCGCAAGACCAAAGAGGGGGACCCUCGGGCCUCUUGCCAUCGGAUGUGCCCAGAUGGGAUUAGCUUGUUGGUGGGGUAACGGCUCACCAAGGCGACGAUCCCUAGCUGGUCUGAGAGGAUGACCAGCCACACUGG